CCAGACUCCUACGGGAGGCAGCAGUGGGGGAUAUUGCACAAUGGGGGGAACCCUGAUGCAGCGACGCCGCGUGGGUGAAGGAGUAUUUCGGUAUGUAAAGCCCUAUCGGCAGGGAAGAAGCAAGACGGUACCUGACUAAGAAGCCCCGGCUAACUACGUGCCAGCAGCCGCGGGAAUACGUAGGGGGCAAGCGUUAUCCGGAUUUACUGGGUGUAAAGGGAGCGUAGGUGGCAGGGCAAGUCAGAUGUGAAAACCCGGGGCUCAACCCCGGGAGUGCAUUUGAAACUGUCCAGCUGGAGUGCAGGAGAGGUAAGCGGAAUUCCUAGUGUAGCGGUGAAAUGCGUAGAUAUUAGGAGGAACACCAGUGGCGAAGGCGGCUUACUGGACAGUAACUGACGUUGAGGUUCGAAAGCGUGAGGAGCAAACAGGAUUAGAUACCCGCGUAA
RNAcentral lists this ribosomal RNA (446 nucleotides) under uncultured bacterium. Its description in RNAcentral is "bacterial SSU rRNA". It matches the Rfam family "Bacterial small subunit ribosomal RNA", at positions 331 to 793 of the family's 1533-position model. The record is from RNAcentral.